CUGAGGAAACUAAAACGAAAUCAGCUCCCCUCGCCUUUAACCUUGACGCCGCUCACCAACAGCACGACCUCGCACGAUCGCCAUCGCGAGCUGCGUGGCAUCCGUCUGCGUGAUCGCAAGAGCAGGGAGGCGACGCGACGGAACCCCCAGGACCCUGCCAUCGCAGCGUGUCAUCCGUCCGCGGGAUCGCCAGGAGCCUGGCUCCCGAUCCAGUCUCUCCCAAAAAAUCGCCAUUGCCACCCCACCGCCUGCCGCUGCUCCUCUGCUGGCUCGAGUGAACGGAGCCAAUCGGUGGAAGGAAGAGAUGGGCGGCGGCGGGGGAGGCGACGGUGCGGGCGUCACACAAGGAGUCCCGGGUCACCUCCGCCACCACGCGCGCCGAUGCCGCCGUGCGCCGCGAGCAGAUCCUCGCCGGCCGCGCAUCCUUCGCCGACCUGGCCGUGCUUCGCGACCAGAUCCUCGCCGGCCGCGCUUCCUUCGCCGACCUCGCCGUGCAGCAAUCUGACUGCUCCUCCGCCCGCCUCGGUGGCGACCUACGCUGCUAUUUCUUUCCACGAGUCCAGGAGUUGCUCACGUACGUCUGGAUACGGAUGAGCGUAUGCUCAAAGAUUGACCGUGGAUGGUCAUGCCGAUAGGCGACGACGACUGCGAGUAAUUGCUCCCUGAUCCCCUCCAUCUCAGAGUUGCCAACAGCCUCUGUGUCACCACUCACCAAAUGCCACUGCAUCAUCCAGGUGCCUUCAUAUUUUUUAGAGAAGAGUUCAUGACAGUUUGCAACCGUAUGAUGUCUGAUGAUUGCCUGCAUACACGGAUGAUGUGAAGCGACUGUUGGCAGGUUCUGAGAGCUGAGAAGAGGGAUGCAGGGAACAUCUACGUGUACAGCAUCAUGGGCGUAUUUGAAGUUGACCACCAAGGAGAACAAAUAUGUCCUACAUCGAGAUGGAGCGCAUAGUGCUGGAUCAGUUGGAUCAGACAGUUAGAAUCAUGGUCUUCAUGUUCCAGUACACCUGCUUCUUCUGUUAGCGUUUCUGUUUACUCUAAUUAAUCAAGGUCAAUCGUUGUUUCUGUUAGCGUUUCUGUUUACUCUAAUUAAUCAUAUACAGUUAGAACCAUUAUUAUUUUUUACUUCCAGUUAUAACACUUCAGCCCAUGCUUGUCGAAUUUGUGAUGCUUGUAAUGCUCUUGGUGGAAAAUAACAGACACACACUUGAUUUGCAUAACUAAUGGUGAAAGUUUAAAAAUGAUAGUAAUAUCAGUGUUCGACUUUGUUCAUCUGAAUUUUUUGUCAACAAAAACGUGAUGCAUGCUGAUGUAUCUUUUUUUUACGUGUCUCUUCUCUAUAGAAACAUAAGGCCAGCCUCCAUAUGAAGUUUUCUGCUCACAGUGCACAUAAUUCCAGUUUAUAUGAUUAACAUUUGCAUGUAUAUUUUAGCCUAAAGUUUAUAGUUCACUUUUCUCUUUGGGGUGAGUUGAGCUUAAACCUUGUGUUGGUAAGAGAGAAGGAGCAUAUUGAAGUUAGUUUAUGGCACUCCUGGAGUGCCUCUACCCAAGUAUCAGUCUCAGACUGAUUGCU
This is a long non-coding RNA of Triticum aestivum (bread wheat), 1573 nucleotides long. RefSeq lists it as uncharacterized. The record is from RefSeq and is a predicted model, not a curated record. Lineage: Eukaryota; Viridiplantae; Streptophyta; Magnoliopsida; Poales; Poaceae. The transcript has 3 exons.